Molecule: RNA transcript, 1293 nt
Organism: Salvia miltiorrhiza (redroot sage)
Lineage: Eukaryota; Viridiplantae; Streptophyta; Magnoliopsida; Lamiales; Lamiaceae
Exons: 7
Source: RefSeq, a predicted model, not a curated record
ACUUCCAAACCCAAAUUUCAUAUUUUUUCAUCUAAUUUCUCUCUCACUCUCAUGUCACCCCAAACCAGAAAUCGUCUCCCCAACCCAAACCUAGAAUUCGCCCCCCUACCCCCAGCCCCAGUCCAGACCGGCGACACCUUCCUCCGGCGAGACGUGCGGUAGCUGCCUUCGACUCCAGACCAGCGAGACGCGCUCCAGGCCUGCCGCAGCUGCUCUCCACUCCGGCGAGACCACGCCUCCAGGCCCACCGCAGCCCUCCAGUCCGGCGAGACCGCGCCUCCAGCCAGGCCUUCCGGUAGCGUCAUUUCAUUUAGUUUGUUUUCCAGUUACUAGUUGUAAAGUGUAAACACAAGGGUUAAAUUAGCAUUUUCCAAAGAAAAAUAAAAAUGCGUUCAUCAACAGUAGAAGGUAGGGUUUUGGAGCACGAGUGCAGAGUGCUAUUGGAAAGUGGAAAUGCCUUGAUUGGAUGCUGAGUGUAUUGCCUGUGAUUUGGUAUAGGGCUGACAUGGAUACUGGAUUAUCAGAGGAAGUCAAAACGCUUGAGGAAUUUGUUGAAGGGCGCUUGAAACCUAAUCUUGUGCGUGCUAUUGCUGAACGGGACAAGGUCUUUGAGCGGCAGAAGAUUUUCUCUGACCUUAGAAAAAACAUUGAAAACCUGGAGAAGAAUACCGUGACCUGUAUGAGGACGCUCGUCAACAUUGGCACUGAAAUCUAUACGGAAGCUGAAGCGCCAGAUACCCAGCAUAUAUUCGUUGAAGUAGGACAUGGAUUUUAUGUGGAGUUUACUUGGUCUGAAGCUCUGAGUUAUAUUGCUGAAAGGGAAAAACUAUUAUCCAGUUGGCUUUUCUGGUUUACUUGGAGAGGUGGGCACUUUCAUUGCCUUACCUGGUAGAUCAUAGUAUCAGCAUCAGUAUCUCCAAAGUCGAAUUUCCCUUUUUAGUUUAAGCUCCACCAAUAUCUUUUCUGGCCUCAGAAUCCUGGAUUCGUGUUGGCAAAUAGAGGAGUACACCAGCAAAAUUGGAGCUAUCAAAGUUCAAAUUAAAGUGGCAUUGGAAGCAGUAAGGAAAUUACUCAAGAUACCAGAUGCUGAGCUAUAACCUUUACAAUUCAACAUCAAAUUCUUCAGAGUUCAGAUAUUUUCGCAUACCAAGUUUUUGCAAUGAAAUGAAACAUGAUUUUGAUUGUGAGAGAAACUUAGAGAUAGGAAAGAGUACUUUUUGGAGCAGAAUGUAUUGUCUGUAAAAAUCUCCCCCCCCCCCCCCCCCCUCAAUUCUUGUUCUUAUUAUCAUGAAA